GAUGAACGCUGGCGGCGUGCCUAAUACAUGCAAGUCGAGCGAACGGACGAGAAGCUUGCUUUUCUGAUGUUAGCGGCGGACGGGUGAGUAACACGUGGAUAACCUACCUAUAAGACUGGGAUAACUUCGGGAAACCGGAGCUAAUACCUUAUAAUAUUUUGAACCGCAUGGUUCAAAAGUGAAAGACGGUCUUGCUGUCACUUAUAGAUGGAUCCGCGCUGCAUUAGCUAGUUGGUAAGGUAACGGCUUACCAAGGCAACGAUGCAUAGCCGACCUGAGAGGGUGAUCGACCACACUGGAACUGAGACACGGUCCAGACUCCUACGGGAGGCAGCAGUAGGGAAUCUUCCGCAAUGGGCGAAAGCCUGACGGAGCAACGCCGCGUGAGUGAUGAAGGUCUUCGGAUCGUAAAACUCUGUUAUUAGGGAAGAACAUAUGUGUAAGUAACUGUGCACAUCUUGACGUUACCUAAUCAGAAAGCCACGGCUAACUACGUG
This 497-nucleotide ribosomal RNA is filed under the name uncultured bacterium. RNAcentral describes it as "partial 16S ribosomal RNA". It matches the Rfam family "Bacterial small subunit ribosomal RNA", at positions 28 to 507 of the family's 1533-position model. The record is from RNAcentral.